GUGAAUAUAACUCAAUUGGCAGAGUGCUGGAUUGUGAUUCUAGAAGUCUGUGAGUUCAAAUCUCACUAUUUACC
Molecule: transfer RNA, 74 nt
Filed under: Chroomonas placoidea
Lineage: Eukaryota; Cryptophyceae; Pyrenomonadales; Chroomonadaceae
Description: tRNA-His
Rfam family: tRNA
About the family: Transfer RNA (tRNA) molecules are approximately 80 nucleotides in length. Their secondary structure includes four short double-helical elements and three loops (D, anti-codon, and T loops). Further hydrogen bonds mediate the characteristic L-shaped molecular structure. tRNAs have two regions of fundamental functional importance: the anti-codon, which is responsible for specific mRNA codon recognition, and the 3' end, to which the tRNAs corresponding amino acid is attached (by aminoacyl-tRNA synthetases). tRNAs cope with the degeneracy of the genetic code in two manners: having more than one tRNA (with a specific anti-codon) for a particular amino acid; and 'wobble' base-pairing, i.e. permitting non-standard base-pairing at the 3rd anti-codon position.
Source: RNAcentral